This 253-nucleotide ribosomal RNA is filed under the name uncultured bacterium. RNAcentral's name for it is "partial 16S ribosomal RNA". It matches the Rfam family "Bacterial small subunit ribosomal RNA", at positions 524 to 776 of the family's 1533-position model. The record is from RNAcentral.
UACCGAGGUGGCAAGCGUUGUUCGGAAUUACUGGGCGUAAAGGGCGAGUAGGUGGCCAUCUAAGUCAGACGUGAAAUCCCCCGGCUUAACCUGGGAACUGCGUCUGAUACUGGACGGCUAGAGUUUGGGAGAGGGAUGCAGAAUUCCAGGUGUAGCGGUGAAAUGCGUAGAUAUCUGGAGGAAUACCGGUGGCGAAGGCGGCAUCCUGGACCAACACUGACACUGAAUCGCGAAAGCUAGGGGAGCAAACGGG